GUCUCCGUAGCUCAGUGGAUAGAGCGUUUGGUUGCGGACCAAAAGGUCGCAGGUUCGAAUCCUGCCGGGGACG
This 73-nucleotide transfer RNA is filed under the name Anaerolineae bacterium. RNAcentral's name for it is "tRNA-Arg". It matches the Rfam family "tRNA". Rfam says of the family: Transfer RNA (tRNA) molecules are approximately 80 nucleotides in length. Their secondary structure includes four short double-helical elements and three loops (D, anti-codon, and T loops). RNAcentral also lists the same sequence under 1 other name. Lineage: Bacteria; Bacillati; Chloroflexota; Anaerolineae. The record is from RNAcentral.